Populus euphratica (Euphrates poplar) is the source of this 363-nucleotide long non-coding RNA. RefSeq lists it as uncharacterized. Lineage: Eukaryota; Viridiplantae; Streptophyta; Magnoliopsida; Malpighiales; Salicaceae. The transcript has 3 exons. The record is from RefSeq and is a predicted model, not a curated record.
AAAUAACGGGAAUUACUGGAUGACCCUCCCUCUCCCUUAACCUCUCCAGUUCAAGUUUGCACACAAUUUAAUCUCAGCUUGACAGCAGAGUAAGUUCCUGCUCCACACAGCGCUCCGAGGAUCGGGGCAGUGAGGUUCUGAACCACAAAAAAUAUGCUGUUGUCAUGUCUCUCACAUCAACUUAUACGGAAGGGUUAAGCUAUACAAGAACUGAAAUAGGUUUUGACUCAGUUGCUUUUCUUGGAUUCGCCCCUUUUCACAAGUCUUCAAGUUGUUGCUAACAAUAGUGCUUAAAUAUUCAUGUUCUUUACCAUGUUUUGACCGCACUGCAUUUUGCUCACUGUUACUUUUUGGACUCUCCUA